This 305-nucleotide ribosomal RNA is filed under the name uncultured bacterium. RNAcentral's name for it is "bacterial SSU rRNA". It matches the Rfam family "Bacterial small subunit ribosomal RNA", at positions 337 to 638 of the family's 1533-position model. The record is from RNAcentral.
UCCUACGGGGGGCAGCAGUGAGGAAUAUUGGUCAAUGGGCUUACGCCUGAACCAGCCAAGUCGCGUGAGGGAAGACUGCCCUAUGGGUUGUAAACCUCUUUUGUCAGGGAGCAACGCCGGCUACGUGUAGCCGGACUGAGAGUACCUGAAGAAAAAGCAUCGGCUAACUCCGUGCCAGCAGCCGCGGUAAUACGGAGGAUCCAAGCGUUAUCCGGAUUUAUUGGGUUUAAAGGGUGCGUAGGCGGAUUGAUAAGUUAGAGGUGAAAUGUCCGAGCUUAACUCGGGAACUGCCUCUAAUACUGUUU